RNAcentral lists this ribosomal RNA (300 nucleotides) under Triticum aestivum (bread wheat). Its description in RNAcentral is "partial small subunit ribosomal RNA". The record is from RNAcentral. Lineage: Eukaryota; Viridiplantae; Streptophyta; Magnoliopsida; Poales; Poaceae.
GAAAACAUUGAGCGUAUGAAUGCUAAAUAUAAACUUGUUGGAGAUAAGGGUAGAAAACAUGUUGUGUUUGCACCUGGAGAUCUUGUUUGGUUACAUUUGCGUAAGGAUAGAUUUCCUGAUUUGCGCAAAUCAAAGCUAAUGCCACGUGCUGAUGGUCCCUUUAAGGUGUUAGAGAAAACAAAUGAUAAUGCAUAUAAACUUGAGCUGCCUGCAGAUUUUGGGGUUAGUCCCACUUUUAACAUUGCAGAUUUGAAGCCUUAUUUGGGUGAGGAAGAUGAGUUUCCGUCGAGGACGACUUAA